This is a long non-coding RNA of Brienomyrus brachyistius, 966 nucleotides long. RefSeq lists it as uncharacterized. The transcript is spliced from 7 exons. NCBI's taxonomy places the organism in Eukaryota, Metazoa, Chordata, Actinopteri, Osteoglossiformes, Mormyridae. The record is from RefSeq and is a predicted model, not a curated record.
UAAAACUUUAAGUAUACUACGGUUUUUAAAUAUUUUUUUGCAUAAACGUCAAACUAGAGGAUCCUGGGAAACGGCGGUGGUACAAAACGUGGUGCUCGGCCGCCAUCUCUGCCAUUUCGCAGAGGAAUCUGCAUGAGGAACGGAGUGCCGCCUGAGCACGUGUCUGACAACAUGGCUUCCACUUCCUUCCCUGUUGGGUAUCUGCUGGAAUCGGGAUGAUUCCCAGAUGUGCCGAACUCAUCAGCGAGAUGCUAACACAGGUCUGCUUCUAGCAUCAAACCACUAAGGGCUGCUCCUGUUGGCGUUUCAUGGAUCUGCCAUCUGGCUGGAAUAGGACCAGCCGUUGCAGGUUCAUCUGAAAUAGUGGAAAAGAUCCCGACACUCAAGACUCGUACUGUAAACCGAGAGUGAACCUGUGAUGUUUCACUCGAAAGGGCCUUCGGUGGGAGUGAGGUUUACUGAUGGCAGCGCUGAGUGUGACUGCUCCCUUUGUGAAGGAUUCAAUAUUGUUAAACUGUGGUUUUCCCCCCCAUGUGGGUGUGCACGCCAUAUGUAAUACACUUUUUUUUUUUUUUUUUUGCGGGGGGUCCACACAGUCUUACUUACGGCAUUGUUCUUGAUGUGUUUGGGCUGAGAUGGGUAAUUUAACACACGACUAUAGUUAUCUUCAUGACUUUUAGCAUUACUUAACUAUUGACUGGUAAUUAAUCUGCUGUACUCUCAGACCGUGUUCACGCCUGGCGUUACCAUGCAUCUCGACUGACCUCUUGUAAUCACAUCUCACUUUGCAGCAACUUUAAAUAAGCUCGUAAAUCACUUCCAUAUGCAGAAUCUUCCAAACGUUAAGAAAUCACAAACUGUUGGUGCAUUCUAGAGUAGACAAGCUGUCAAAUGUUUUUAUGGAAUGCCAUACUAAAAAUGAAAUCUGAAAAUAAAUGACAUUUCAAUGUGUCCUUUUAUUUUGAA